RNAcentral lists this ribosomal RNA (259 nucleotides) under uncultured bacterium. RNAcentral describes it as "partial 16S ribosomal RNA". It matches the Rfam family "Bacterial small subunit ribosomal RNA", at positions 524 to 776 of the family's 1533-position model. The record is from RNAcentral.
UACGUAGGGGGGCAAGCGUUGUCCGGAUUUAUUGGGCGUAAAAGAGCGUGUAGGCGGCCUGAAAGGUCAGCUGUGAAAAACUCGAGGCUCAACCUCGAGACGUCGGUUGAAAACCAUCUGGCUAGAGUCCGGAAGAGGAGUGUGGAAUUCCCGGUGUAGCGGUGAAAUGCGCAGAUAUCGGGAAGAACACCCGUGGCGAAGGCGGCACUCUGGGACGGUACUGACGCUGAGACGCGAAAAGCGUGGGGGAGCGAACAGG